Molecule: long non-coding RNA, 2051 nt
Organism: Amphimedon queenslandica
Lineage: Eukaryota; Metazoa; Porifera; Demospongiae; Haplosclerida; Niphatidae
Exons: 5
Source: RefSeq, a predicted model, not a curated record
AUAAGCUAAUGUAUCUACAUUGUCUCCUGCAGGUUCCCUCUCUUGGUGUGGUGAUGUAUUAUGCAGUGGUAGUCGUGACAACAUGAUAUUACAGUGGGACCCACAUCUACCUGCCUUCCCCACUAGGAGACUGUUAGGCCACACCCAGGAGGUGUGUGGACUUGCUGGUCCCCUAAUCACCAACACCUGGCCUCAGGAGGAAACGAUAUAAAUUAUUCAUAUGGGAUGAUUCAUCGACCACACCCAUUCACUGUCUCUCGGAUCAUAAAGCAGCUAUAAAAGCUCUUGCAUGGUCACUGCAUCAACAUGAACUAUUAGCCUCAGGUGGUGGUACAGCUGAUAGGACCAUCAGGUUCUGGAAUGUACUGACUGGCAUGUUGAAUAAACCACUUCACCUUCAUAGUUCACACUGACUAACUUGUAUUUUAAACCGGUUUGACGAGUUACUAGCAGCUCAGCAUAAACUGAGUUUGGAGGUAUCUUUGACAGAUUACUGGUAGGAGUCGUAUUGGUCUUCAAUUUGUUUAAAGGUGACUGGCUCACAACUGGAGAUGAAUUCACUGGAGGAGCUUUUCGUUUCUUUGAGUAUUCCUUCUCAACCCUUUUUAAUAUGUCUGGUGGGCAUAUCAAGUUCUCCUGGGUUCCCCUAACCCACAGGUAGUUUAAGAGCACGGGCAGUUCUUCCAGGGUAUAUCAAGGUUUUCUGGGCAUAUCAAGUUCUCGUGGGGUUCCCCUAACCCACAGGUACAUGUAUUUUAGGAGGUUGGGAAGCUCCUCCACUUCUAAUAUUUCUAAUAUUUCUUCAGCUUCUGGACCUGGUUCUUCAAUCUGUACGGUUGCAUCUAAUUCUUCGUCCUCCCCAUUAUUGGAAGAGAGGGAAUGAAUGGAGCCGAGAGUACCUGAAUCAUCAUGCUCCGUAUUAGCAGUCGUAUGAGUCUUUGAUGUCUUUAAAGGUGGCUCUGGAGGUGCUUUUCUUUUUAAAAGUAUUCCUUUUCGACAUUAUCUAAUGUUUCUUACGGGCAUAUUACGUUUUCCUCAGGCUCCCAAGUAUUGUAGGUAGGCGAGUAGUCCUUCUAUUUUAAGAAAUAAAAUUUCUUUCCCUCCUCUAUCUUCAUUUCAAUAAUCUUUUCAACUUCAUACAGCUUCUCUCUGGCUUUCAACUUUCUUGUAUGAUGUUUUCAGGACCUCGGCAUUUCCUAGUCUUACAGAGGUCCUUUGAGUCAGAGAGGUUGGUGUCUGCUAGCUGCAGGUUAGUGUCAAGACCAACGCCCACGUGAGCAUGUAAUCACCAUGUAGUACCACCUGUAGAGGCUGGGCAUAGUGGGCAGUAUGUCUCAUACAUACAGAUAUUUUUUAUGCAUACAGAUAUACAUACAGCUAAAUUUGGAAUUUUUACAAAUUUUUUUAAGUUGCUUAAAUUUAAUUCACUUAAAUUCACUGAGUUUUCAACCUAUCAAUCACAGAAUGUGUCAGUAGCUGAACCAGUUCUUUCAUCUCCCUCUCAUACUAUUGGAGGAGGAGGGAUAGUGUCACCAUCUCCUAUACCAGUCCAAUGAGUAGCACAUCAAAUAAUAAGUCUCCUGGUUUGUCUGAGAUUUGGUGUCAGUGUCUACAAAAGUGUCUGGACCUUGCAAUCGUUUAAUGUCCAGCAAUGAUGAGGAGACACUUGACAUAAUGAUUAAUGAGAGAGAAGGAGAAAUGAAGAUUAAAGAAGAAAGAAGUGGAACAAAAUACGUGGACUCUUUGAUCAAGAAAAAUUGAUAAAGUAAACAUGUAAAUAAAUAAUACACAUAUCUUUAUCUCUCUCACUCUCUCUCAGAUUAUUUAUUUACUCUUGCUCCAACAUUUCCUAAAUUUUGAAUAGUUUUGAAAUGAGAAGUAAAGUCCUUAAGACAGUCUGAUUCUGAAGAGAAAAAACAAUACCAAUAUUAUUAAACUUUCUCAUAAAUUAUGCCACAUAAUUUUGGUGAUUAGCUGGUUUAAUUAUUUUUGAUUAUUGAUUUUGGUUUAAUUAUUUGGCGAAUGGUUAUCAAAAUGCUAAAAUUACUAAA